GACUGGUCCACAUGCAGUGGUGUUUACAACUAAUGGAUCACAACCAGUUACAGAUUCCUUUUUUCCUUCUCCACUCCCACUGCUUCACUUGACUAGCCAGAA
This 102-nucleotide Y RNA is filed under the name Microcebus murinus (gray mouse lemur). RNAcentral describes it as "Y RNA (ENSMICG00000044695.1)". It matches the Rfam family "Y RNA". Rfam says of the family: Y RNAs are components of the Ro ribonucleoprotein particle (Ro RNP), in association with Ro60 and La proteins. The Y RNAs and Ro60 and La proteins are well conserved, but the function of the Ro RNP is not known. Lineage: Eukaryota; Metazoa; Chordata; Mammalia; Primates; Cheirogaleidae. The record is from Rfam by way of RNAcentral.